RNAcentral lists this ribosomal RNA (301 nucleotides) under uncultured bacterium. RNAcentral's name for it is "partial 16S ribosomal RNA". It matches the Rfam family "Bacterial small subunit ribosomal RNA", at positions 509 to 809 of the family's 1533-position model. The record is from RNAcentral.
CAGUAGCCGCGGUAAAACGUAGGUCCCGAGCGUUGUCCGGAUUUAUUGGGCGUGAAGGGCUCGCAGGCGGUUUCUUAAGUCUGAUGUGAAAGCCCCCGGCUCAACCGGGGAGGGUCAUUGGAAACUGGGAAACUUGAGUGCAGAAGAGGAGAGUGGAAUUCCACGUGUAGCGGUGAAAUGCGUAGAGAUGUGGAGGAACACCAGUGGCGAAGGCGACUCUCUGGUCUGUAACUGACGCUGAGGAGCGAAAGCGUGGGGAGCGAACAGGAUUAGAUACCCGUGUAGUCCCUGUCUCUUAUAA